UUUGUACUGUGUCUUCUUGCAGGCAUGUGAUUCUACCUUCAGCCCUUGUCAAAUUGCUUCCCCGAAACCAUUUGAUGACUGAGACAGAAUGGAGAAACCUAGGGGUGCAACAGAGUCCUGGAUGGGUACACUAUAUGAUCCAUAAACCUGAACCUCACAUCUUGCUGUUUAAGAGACCAAGAACUGACAAACUUCAAGAUUAAAUCAAGUCUCCUCUUUAAUAUUUUAUCUCAAGGUUUGUUGUUUUGCAACAUGUUCCAGUGUUUUGUUGGGGGAGUGAGGGAAUGGGCAGUGUUAAUGUUUAUGGUGUAAAUCGAGGACACGUCAUUGAUGAAUUGAGGACAGGAACCAAAUCGAGUAGACUCCUCGGUUAGAAAACGUGUACAAAACCAAUGAGAGCUGUUGCAAAAAGUUAUAAACAAAGGAAGAGGGAAGAGGAACAAUAGAAAAUCCUUGAUUUACACCAUAGACAAACAUGGGUGUACAUAUAUGGGGGCAUGCAACUUUUCCUCGGAUCCGCUGAUUUCCUCGUUUUUUACUUCACAGGGAUGCAUGCCAUUAGAAAUUGCAAAACACUGUACAAUGUCUUGUGUGGUUUGGAGUUUUCUCUUUUUCUUAUUCCCUGUUGCAUGCCUGAUGUACACAUAGUUGGGAUUGGGAUAUGUGAUAUUGCAUUGGUUGAGAAGUGUCAACCGGAUGGACCUUGCACAGUACAUCACUCAUAUAACCCAGACACAGUGUUUUCCAUUGAUUAGCAGUCCAGCAAGGUGGAAUAUUGGGUACAAGUUGUGAUUGUGGGCUGACUUCAUAGAUAGCGGCUGCCCUUUCCAGAACACAGGGGCGCUGGUUCAAGAAUAUUGUUGUUACACUGUGGUUCUUUAAAUGUUAUGUUUGGUACAUUUUUAAUUAUUGGAAACAUAUGAAGUGGAGAGGUCUUCUGUGGUGUAUAAAGCAAUAAAAAUUGAAGUGUAUAAUGUGGAAGAAAAGGCCAUCAAAAUUCUGGCAGGGCUGCAUACAAAUUUUGGCAGAGUAGACUGCCCUCCUAAAACCUGUGAGAACAGUGCAGAGCUUGUUUGCUGUCGGUACUGUUAAGUAUUAUUAUCUUUUCUACUUUGUACUGUACAAACAGAGUAUUAAUAGACAAGGGUUAAUUAUGUUACCAUAGACACAAGACUUACCAAUACCCAAAGCACUUGACCGCAAAAUAUUUAGAGUAGCUUUUUCUUUUAGGUUUAAACUCUGUCAUUUGCAAAUGAUUUAUUUCAUUAUUCUAUACAAUUAAAUUGCAUACACUCCUUAAGAAAAAUUAUGAACAGUCAAUAUCAGGCACGAUAUACAAGCAACAUGGUUUGAAAAGUCAGUUGGCUUAUUGGUUAUGGUAAAAAUGGAAGAUGUACGAUUGAAAAGCCAUUUUCCCUUACCUUUUUGUAGGCGGGGCAUCCAUUUUGAAAAGUUUGACCAAAAGAAGAGUCACAUAUCAAGACUUUAUGCAGUAGAUGAAAAAAAUUGAAUUCCAAAUUAAGUGUUGAAACACAAUUUGGCGGCAGGGACACAUUUCAUAACAUGGGGAGAGAAAAAAGAGAUUACAAAGAUACGACAUCAUUAAAUCAAAGUCUUGUCAAUUUCUUUCUGAAUUUGGAAUAUAACAGUUUAAGUGGUAAAUCAAAAAGCAACAUUCCAAAUUGUAUUUUGCUUGUAUGCAAAAGAAAUUACAAAAAGAAGUAUGACAUUUACGCUGUAUGAAACACGAGUUAUUCCAAAUUUUCAAAAUACUGUUUCGGCCAUUUCCCAGAACCAUCCAGUUUGAAAUGUGUUCCAAUUCUUUUCUUCAGAGAUAAUGGGAAAAAGCAACAACAAUUCCGAAGCAACUAAUUCCACUAUUUUCCCCACAUCGCUAGGAUGCCGUGGUUGCUUUGCGGUUAUAGUAUUGGGACCUCCACAACAUAAGUGAGAGUAUAUGUAUGUCCCAUGGCGCCCUACAAAAACAUGGCACACAAAAACACUGCAUUAUGUGUCUGGGAGAUGCCGCCGCCGGGGAUUUUAUCAUGCAUGAGUUUACGUUAAAAGCUCUUGUAACUAAACUUGCAAUAAAUAAAAUUAAUAUGAAACUAGA
RNAcentral lists this long non-coding RNA (2113 nucleotides) under Patiria miniata (bat star). Its description in RNAcentral is "uncharacterized LOC119722028". Lineage: Eukaryota; Metazoa; Echinodermata; Asteroidea; Valvatida; Asterinidae. The record is from RNAcentral.